This 382-nucleotide unclassified non-coding RNA is filed under the name Hevea brasiliensis (rubber tree). Lineage: Eukaryota; Viridiplantae; Streptophyta; Magnoliopsida; Malpighiales; Euphorbiaceae. The record is from RNAcentral.
CUUCAGUAUCUGUAAGCACAUAACUAAACUUAUAAUAUUCCCAAACAUGGUUGUAAAUAACUACUGAAGGUUGUCUUAAUGGUAGGGAUGACAAUUGCAAACUAAAGAUCCUUACAAUAAAUGAGUUUGUUUAACUGGCUAGCUAGUUAAAGUUAUCACCUACCAUACCCACCUGCCACAUACAUAUCACUAUCUCAUCAUAUGGGGCUCUGAUAGAUGAGUGUUAAAUUGCACAUGAGCACAGCAAACAUAUAUAGGAUUUCUAUGCGAAAGUUUUUGUUAUUUUGUUUCUCAUGGAAGCAAUGUGUAACACUUACUAACUGCAAGAGCUGGUUGGUUUGUGAAUACGUACUGUGAAGGGAACUGUACAUGAAUAAGCUGG